This 741-nucleotide ribosomal RNA is filed under the name Theba impugnata. RNAcentral's name for it is "partial 16S ribosomal RNA". The record is from RNAcentral. Lineage: Eukaryota; Metazoa; Mollusca; Gastropoda; Stylommatophora; Helicidae.
UAUUUCUUAUUAGAGAAAUAGAAUUUACGUGGUAUAGUAAUAUAACAAUAUUUUUUAGGAGUGAUAGGCUUUUCAAGUAUGAUGAUAACUUGAUAUGCAAAAAAAAUAUUAAGUAUAAAAAUAGAUUAUGAAAGUUAAGCUUCAUAAUUAAAAUUAAUUUUUUUAAUUGAUUUUAUUAUAGUUUAAUAGCUUAUAAGAAGUUAAAACAAAAUUAUUUUAUAAGAAUUAUUUAAAUAACUGCAUUAUACUUUUUGGUUUUAAUAUAAAUUAUGUUAGUAUUAGUAAUUAUCAUAAAUAAAUUAUAGGAACUCGGCAAAAUAUUUUUCACCUGUUUAUCAAAAACAUAACUAUAUGAUCUAAUAUAUAGCUAUUCCUGCUCAAUGAUAUAUUAAAUAGCCGCAGUACCCUGACUGUGCAAAGGUAGCAUAAUCAAUUGGCUUUUAAUUGGAGUCUUGUAUGAAUGGAUAUAUGGAAAAUGACUGUCUUUAAUUUUUUUAUAUUAAUUUAGUUUGUAAGUGAAAAUACUUACAUAUAUAUAUAGGACGAGAAGACCCUAGAAACUUAGUAAAUAUUUUGUUGGGGCGACAGAAUUACAAAAAACUAAUUUUAUUAUACUAGACGUGUAAACAGCUAGAUUAAGUUACUCUAGGGAUAACAGCAUAAUUUUUACAGUUUGUGACCUCGAUGUUGGACUAGGGAAUUUAUUGUUUAGAAGAUAAUAAAGUGUGCUCUGUUCGAGCU